This is a long non-coding RNA of Gordionus sp. m RMFG-2023, 1109 nucleotides long. RefSeq lists it as uncharacterized. NCBI's taxonomy places the organism in Eukaryota, Metazoa, Nematomorpha, Gordioida, Chordodea, Parachordodidae. The record is from RefSeq and is a predicted model, not a curated record. The transcript is spliced from 3 exons.
GGUUCUAGAGGAUAUAGUUGCCGAAAAUCCUUUAGAAACAAGGCAUAAUAUUUAUGAGAAAGCCAUAAAUAAAAGAUUUUUGGAAACCCCAAAUAUAAAUUUCUAUCCGGAGGCGAUGACCUCAUUUAUUUCGUUAAAAAGUACCAUCGAUCGAUUAUUACAAAAAAAUAGGCCAUAUUUGCCACAAUCCGUAGAUAGCAUAGUUUUAUUGUCCGAAUAUAUCACCACAAAUAGGGGUGAUAUAUUUUUAAUUAAUAAUGAUGAUAAUAAUAAUAAUAAACUAUUGGUAUUUGGGACAUGUAGCAUGUUAAAGCUCAUAGAAACGUGUGAUAAUGAUACCAUAUAUAUGGAUGGUACAUUUUACGUUGUACCACGACUAUAUUACCAGUUGUAUACAAUUCACGUCUUGUAUCAGGAGACAAUGAUACCUAUUGUAUAUGCCCUCCUUCCCGACAAAACAAGAGCCACCUAUAUAGAUUUAUUUCAAAUUAUUCUAAGGUGCUGCGCCGAGAAUAAUAUCAUAUUUAAUCCUAGAUACGGGCAGACUGAUUUUGAGGCGGCUGCAAUAUCAGCUCUAGGAUUUGUUUUUCCUAAUAUGGUGAUUAAAGGCUGUUUCUUCCAUUUUUCGCAAGCCAUAUGGCGAAAUGUCAGGAAUUAGGCUUAACAGUAGAAUAUAGGGACAAUUCUACUGUUCACAAAGUAGUCAGACGUAUGACUACCUUACCCUUUUGCCGUGAGGAAGAUAUCUCCCGAGUACGAUCAUCGUGUCUUGCCAUGUCAGUUGAAAAUCCUCUGCUAUUAAAUUUUAUGCAAUAUAUGGAUCUGACAUGGCUUUCCAUUAAUGCUUUAUUUCCCCAUAGCAUAUGGACUAGAUAUCAAGUCAAUGGUCCUAGAACAAAUAACCAUUUAGAGGGCUAUCAUCAUAGCAUCAAAAGAAAAACGUUAUGUGCCCAUCCUAACAUUUAUUCUUUAAUUAACAUUUUAAAAAGACAUCAACACGCUUCUGAGAUUAAAUUAAUUCAGAUUAAUAGCGGGUUGAAUGUUAAUCGUAAAAAUCGUAAAUAUAUUCAAUUAAAUAUUUUAAUACAAAAUCUUACUUCCCUUUAUGA